CUACUUAGGGAGCUACCAUUUGAUUUUUAUGGGGGGGGCUAGGAUGAAAUUUGAAAAAAUAGGCAGGACAGGAGUUUUGAGUAAAAAAAAGGCAGGAUGAGACACUUGCAAAAAAAAAAGUCAGGACGACAAUUUAGGUAAAAAAAAGUCAGGAUAAAAUAAAAAAAAAAGGCAGGACCGAACAGAGUGAAAAAUAAAAAGGCAGGACAGAGAUUACAGCUAAAAAAAUGCAGGACAAAAUUUUUCAUCCUAGCCCCCCCCCC
RNAcentral lists this long non-coding RNA (263 nucleotides) under Mytilus galloprovincialis (Mediterranean mussel). The record is from RNAcentral. Lineage: Eukaryota; Metazoa; Mollusca; Bivalvia; Mytilida; Mytilidae.